AGGAUAUUUAGCUAUUUGAAAAACAUAUGUGCUAGUGUUGUACUUUAUAUCGGAAUAUAGUCCUAUAGCUAAUGUGCAAUUAUUAUAUUUGUAGCCUAAGCAUUGGUUUGUGAAAACAGGCAAAAUCGUGUUUGGCUAAUUGCUAACUAGCAAACACGUUUUAGCUUUUUGCCUGACUUUACCCUCAUGUUUUGAUGAGGAUCACAUGGACAACAGUGGAGAGUGAACCGUUGGCUCUUGCACUUACAUACUCACGUAGAAUGUUUUAAAAAAUUGACACUUCCGUCCAAAUGAGAUGAACGUGAGGUUGACCAAGACACACAUCAUGCAGGACGACUCAAGCCACAGUCCCAGUUAUACAGUGACGUGUGAGGACUAUGUUCAUGUGGUGGAGUUCAGCCCUUUCAACUCUGGGACCCCCGCCUCUCUCCUGGCUUAUGGUGGAAACCAGUACGUUGUAGUGGGCACCUGCCUCUUCCAGGAGGAGGAUGUGGAGACUGAGGGACUUGAAUUCAACGUUCUUCGAGCUUUUCAUAAUGAAGUACGGGUUGAUGCUCUUGCCUGGAGUCCUGAGUCCAGACUGGACAGGAUACCCAAUAUCAGAUUCUGCACUGCUGCAGCUGACAAGAAGCUACGCCUGUUGACUUCUGAUCUUCAGGAUAGGCAUGAAGUCAAGGUGAUGGAGGGCCACACCAGCUACAUUAACCAUUUGGUGUUCGAACCCACAGAGGGGAAACAAAUUGCUUCCGUCAGCGACGACCACACUUGCAGGCUGUGGGACCUGGAUGGAAAUGAAAGUGCUAUACUUAGACUCCGCUCUCCAGGCAUGAGUGUGUGCUGGCACCCAGAGGAAACCUGUAAGUUAAUGGUAGCGGAGAAGAAGGGGACAAUACGCUUCUAUGACCUGGUGACACAGCAGGCGAUUCUGUCACUGGACUGUGGCCAGUCACCGCUUAUGUCGGCUGACUGGUGCCUCACCAACACAAUCAAAGUGGGCGCUGUGGCAGGCAAUGACUGGCUCAUCUGGGACAUUACUCGCUCCAGUUACCCUCAAGAGAAGAGACCGUCCCACAGAGAUAAAGCGCGGCUGUUUAAAUGGUCUCGAGCCAAUGAAAAUCUCUUUGCUACCACCGGGUGCCCAGGAAAGAUCAAUAGUCAGUUACUCAUCCACCAUCUUGGCCACCCACAGCCGGUGACGAUCGGCUCGGCUGCAGUCGGAUCGGGCCUCAGCUGGCAUCGCACCCUCCCACUGUGUGUGAUUGGCAGCGACAGGAAGCUAAGCUUCUGGAUGACUGAAAUGUAGACAUCUGUCCUGCACUUUCCACGUACCCUUCAGGUCAGCUCCAGAUAAGCAGCAGGCUGGUCUGAACUUUACAAAGAGCUCAUUUGCUUUUCUCUGAAGAGUGAGUUACAUCAGUUGUCUGUCAUGUCCUGCCAAGAGAGCUGUAGUUCAGAGGAAUGAAGCGAGGCUUUGGUGCCAAAUCUCCACUUCACCAGUCAACAUGAUCAUCAUACUGCAGACCUGGGGGCAAAGUGAACCUCCCAACCCAGAGGCAACCCGACCAGGGUAGGGACACCAAUAAAAGAAAAGGCUUAUGGUUGGAGUCGGGAAGAUGCAGCGUUGGGAUUUGUGGCACUGAGCGGACGUCUUCAGCCACUCUCUUCAGCGAGUUGAUGAAAACCUCCAGGUCGGAGCUGUGGACCUCACACCUCAUGAAGAACUCCAGGUCUGUCACACUGUUCUUCAGCUUCCUGCCCGGCCGACUCUCGAUGUGGAGGAGUUUGGCUUCAAAUGUCU
Betta splendens (Siamese fighting fish) is the source of this 1798-nucleotide RNA transcript. It is a transcript of the gene named nucleoporin 37, with no coding region annotated. The transcript has 13 exons. NCBI's taxonomy places the organism in Eukaryota, Metazoa, Chordata, Actinopteri, Anabantiformes, Osphronemidae. The record is from RefSeq and is a predicted model, not a curated record.